Molecule: ribosomal RNA, 426 nt
Filed under: uncultured bacterium
Lineage: Bacteria
Description: bacterial SSU rRNA
Rfam family: Bacterial small subunit ribosomal RNA
Source: RNAcentral
GACGAACGCUGGCGGCGUGCUUAACACAUGCAAGUCGAACGAGAAGAGAUGAGAAGCUUGCUUCUUAUUGAUUCGAGUGGCAAACGGGUGAGUAACGCGUAAGCAACCUGCCCUUCAGAUGGGGACAACAGCUGGAAACGGCUGCUAAUACCGAAUACGUUCUUUUGUCGCAUGGCAGAGGGAAGAAAGGGAGGCUCUUCGGAGCUUUCGCUGAAGGAGGGGCUUGCGUCUGAUUAGCUAGUUGGAGGGGUAACGGCCCGACCAAGGCGACGAUCAGUAGCCGGUCUGAGAGGAUGAACGGCCACAUUGGGACUGAGACACGGCCCAGACUCCUACGGGAGGCAGCAGUGGGGAAUCUUCCGCAAUGGACGAAAGUCUGACGGAGCAACGCCGCGUGAACGAUGACGGCCUCGGGUUGUAAAGGUU